CCUGGCCUAGAGUUCCCAAACCUGGGCUCGCAGGGGGCUCCGGGAGGGGGCUAUUUAGUGGCUGAGGCGGCGUGGACUGCCCUCGUCUUCCUGGCAGCGACGUGCAAGAAGGAGGGGCAAAAGGAGGGCUGGACUCGGGCACGAAAGGAUCUGGAGCGCCGACUGCACGAAGCAGGCAGCGUGCAGAACUUCCCUGAACCCAUGUCCCCUGCAUCGGAAACAUGGAGCCUUAACCACCAGAACACCAGGGAAUUCCUGACCAGCAUCCUUAGAAGAGGAAGGGAUUCUCACAAACACAGUGGAAGAGGCCACAUGAAGAUGGAGGCAGAAGCUGGGAGUGAUGCAGUCACAAGCAAGGGACAUCUGGAAACACCAGACGCUGGAGUGUAGGGCUUCCCAGGUGGCCCAGUGGUUAAGAAUCUGCCCUGUAAUGCAGCGGACACCAGGUUCCUUCCUGGUCUGGGAAGACCCCACAUGCUGAGGGGCAACUAUGACUGUGUGCCGCAACUCCUGAGCCCACGUGAGCAAGUACUGAAGGCUGUGUGCCCUGGAGCCUGAGCUCCGUGAGACAAGCCACCACAAUGAGAAGCCCACGCGUUGCAACCAGAGACUACCCUUGCCAGCUGCAACUAGAGAAAGCCCUCAAGCAGCAACGAAGAGCCUGUGAGCUGCAACGAAGACCCAGCGCAGCCAAAAAUAAAUAAAUGUUUAAAAAUAA
Molecule: long non-coding RNA, 718 nt
Organism: Cervus elaphus (red deer)
Lineage: Eukaryota; Metazoa; Chordata; Mammalia; Artiodactyla; Cervidae
Exons: 3
Source: RefSeq, a predicted model, not a curated record